This 99-nucleotide microRNA precursor is filed under the name Aotus nancymaae (Ma's night monkey). Its description in RNAcentral is "miRNA (ENSANAG00000001348.1)". Lineage: Eukaryota; Metazoa; Chordata; Mammalia; Primates; Aotidae. The record is from RNAcentral.
GAGAUGGGAGGAUUGCUUGAGCCCAGGAGAUGGAGGCUGCAGUGAGUUAGGAUUGUACCACUGCACUCCAGCCUGAGUGACAGAGCAAGACCCUAUCUC